AAGCAUGUUAAGAAGCUUAAGUGGCUUAUCCGUUCCCAGCUCCCGACUCGAGCAGAAGCACGGAGUCUUUCCAUAGAUGACGUGGCUAUUGUCCUAGAUGACCUCCAGUUGCCUCCUUUUCUCGAGGACUUACUAAAGAAAGGCCCCUCAUGUGCACUUAACAUCAUUGGAGCCUACGAUGAUAUGAUACUGCCCUUUGAGGGACUUUUAACUGAUAUGCAUGAGCUGGAUAGGAAGAGAUAUAGAUGGAAGUUUGUUGAACAGGCUAAAAAGCACCAUAUGAUAUAUAAGAGCCAACCAAGCAAGGAAACCGUUAGAAGGGCACGCUUAUGGAUGUAUGACAACGAUGUAACCCUCACUAGGGAUGACAAAUCCAAGAAAGUAGUGCUGCUGGAAAGAAAAUCUUAUGAGGAG
This 414-nucleotide long non-coding RNA is filed under the name Androctonus crassicauda. Lineage: Eukaryota; Metazoa; Arthropoda; Arachnida; Scorpiones; Buthidae. The record is from RNAcentral.